CGAGCAAACAACGGCCAGGAGGACUUGCACUCUGGUUUGAGUUUUCAAAUAUUCGAGUUUUCGAAGUAUUGCCUGUUUUGGCAGAUCAGAUUAGCCGGCCUGUGGGCUUCUUGGGAAUCAUAACACGUGUCUCGAUCACUUGGACGGCCUCGUGGAUGCCUCGUGAAUGCAUUUAUGGUCCUUGCAUGCCCCGUACCAACUGACUUAUACUUUUCGGAUUACGUUUCAUUUCGUACCUUGAUAUGGUUGCGUACAGCUGGUGCGCUAUUUAGGCUUUCGUUUUUAAAGCAACCAUACAGGGGCAAUUGAUGUUGGCAAUUUGCAAGACCAACAGAUCUGGUUGUUUAGACGAGGUAGUUUACGAUAGUUUCUGAUGAUUAGGUUUAUCUUGUUUAUGGUCAUUUUCAAUGUCCACGAGUGUUUAUUUUUAUGAUUUAUGCAUAUGUCGCCGAGUAGGCGUGAUGUUUCAGUGGACAGCCGCAGCCAAACACAUGGACAGCACCCGCAUGGACAGCCGCAGCCGAACACAUGACGUACCUAAUAAGAUGUCGACAUCUGCCAAGAUAGAUAUGCUGAGCGAGGUAGGUGGUGGCCCACGGGGCCCUCAAUAAGGGCUGCUAAGCACGUCGGAGGCGAGUCCGUGCUGGCUCCUCACGAGCGCACGAUUUCGCUUUUUGUCCUGUAACAUUCUCGUCACAUUUCUACUCUUUCCCAACCCGCUGUGAUAGGUAAUAAGAGUCCUAUCCAGGGGUAGCCUUGAGGCGUUCUGGCAACAUCCCACAUGAUGACGUGGCUAUCUGCAGCCCUUUCCUCUCCGUCCUGUCUUCGUUCAUCUUAAAUCGUUGCGCGACUCUUUCGCGCGAUUCGGCCUACUCAAGCACGCACUCGUCCUUUGGGCUAUUUCCCUACGGAACUUAAAGGCUGCUGAUGCCGUUUGACCGCUAGGGUGCUGGCGCAGGGUGCUGACGUGUAAGAUAGCUACUAGGCGUGGACCGGUAGUUUGUAAGUGAAGUUGCAAUUAGCGUUCGUAGAUCGCUUGAUUCGGAAAUUCCAACUGGAUUGUUGGGAAGUGCUCGGUAUUCGUCAAGCGGGUGUCUCUGAGCUUUCUUCUCGACGUCUGCUUACUUCGCAAGCUUGCUUGUCCUGUUGGCUGGGCGCGUGCUUCAUUUGGGGUGAAGCCAGGAUGGGCAUAAUGGCAUCAAAUGCUCGUACUAUGCUUUUGUAUUGAUUCCAGCAUGGAAGCGUAAACGGCCUUAUUAUAACCAGCUGGAAGCUGUACUGAUAAGCGUCGGUCCUGUGCUGCAUGCAGCUUGCAGCAGGGCCUGCAGCGUCAUCAUCAUGCUCUGGAAAAGCUGCGCGGCUGCCAGCGCACGUCACUAGUACUGCUACAAAAACGGGCCUGAAGGGUCUGCUGGCUCGAUGCAACACACCUUGCACCAUUUUACCAUAAUCGGACGCACAGCAGUCAACUUGGGAUUGCAGCAGCAGCCCCUUACUUGCAUCUGCAGCAAAGCAACGGAUCGCUGACUUCUUUGUUGUACCUGGUUGUACUGCUCACUACAAACAAAGGGUUGCACUUUUGCACGACUUAAGUUUGCUUUGCGCCUUACUAAUGAGAGGUGCGUUUUACAACUGACAACGAACAGACACUCAUCAGCAUAAGGCUCUUGCCAAUAAACUCAAGACCUUUACAACUAG
RNAcentral lists this long non-coding RNA (1698 nucleotides) under Volvox carteri. RNAcentral's name for it is "long non-coding RNA (VCAR_LNC000729)". The record is from RNAcentral. Lineage: Eukaryota; Viridiplantae; Chlorophyta; Chlorophyceae; Chlamydomonadales; Volvocaceae.